RNAcentral lists this ribosomal RNA (1346 nucleotides) under uncultured bacterium. RNAcentral describes it as "partial 16S ribosomal RNA". It matches the Rfam family "Bacterial small subunit ribosomal RNA", at positions 28 to 1381 of the family's 1533-position model. The record is from RNAcentral.
GACGAACGCUGGCGGCGUGCUUAACACAUGCAAGUCGAACGGAAAGGCCCUGCUUUUGUGGGGUGCUCGAGUGGCGAACGGGUGAGUAACACGUGAGUAACCUGCCCUUGACUUUGGGAUAACUUCAGGAAACUGGGGCUAAUACCGGAUAGGAGCUCCUGCUGCGUGGUGGGGGUUGGAAAGUUUCGGCGGUUGGGGAUGGACUCGCGGCUUAUCAGCUUGUUGGUGGGGUAGUGGCUUACCAAGGCUUUGACGGGUAGCCGGCCUGAGAGGGUGACCGGCCACAUUGGGACUGAGAUACGGCCCAGACUCCUACGGGAGGCAGCAGUGGGGAAUAUUGCACAAUGGGCGGAAGCCUGAUGCAGCAACGCCGCGUGCGGGAUGACGGCCUUCGGGUUGUAAACCGCUUUCGCCUGUGACGAAGCGUGAGUGACGGUAAUGGGUAAAGAAGCACCGGCUAACUACGUGCCAGCAGCCGCGGUGAUACGUAGGGUGCGAGCGUUGUCCGGAUUUAUUGGGCGUAAAGGGCUCGUAGGUGGUUGAUCGCGUCGGAAGUGUAAUCUUGGGGCUUAACCCUGAGCGUGCUUUCGAUACGGGUUGACUUGAGGAAGGUAGGGGAGAAUGGAAUUCCUGGUGGAGCGGUGGAAUGCGCAGAUAUCAGGAGGAACACCAGUGGCGAAGGCGGUUCUCUGGGCCUUUCCUGACGCUGAGGAGCGAAAGCGUGGGGAGCGAACAGGCUUAGAUACCCUGGUAGUCCACGCUGUAAACGGUGGGUACUAGGUGUGGGGUCCAUUCCACGGGUUCCGUGCCGUAGCUAACGCUUUAAGUACCCCGCCUGGGGAGUACGGCCGCAAGGCUAAAACUCAAAGGAAUUGACGGGGCCCCGCACAAGCGGCGGAGCAUGCGGAUUAAUUCGAUGCAACGCGUAGAACCUUACCUGGGUUUGACAUGGAUCGGGAGUGCUCAGAGAUGGGUGUGCCUCUUUUGGGGUCGGUUCACAGGUGGUGCAUGGCUGUCGUCAGCUCGCGUCGUGAGAUGUUGGGUUAAGUCCCGCAACGAGCGCAACCCUUGUUCACUGUUGCCAGCACGUUAUGGUGGGGACUCAGUGGAGACCGCCGGGGUCAACUCGGAGGAAGGUGGGGAUGACGUCAAGUCAUCAUGCCCCUUAUGUCCAGGGCUUCACGCAUGCUACAAUGGCUGGUACAGAGAGUGGCGAGCCUGUGAGGGUGAGCGAAUCUCGGAAAGCCGGUCUCAGUUCGGAUUGGGGUCUGCAACUCGACCUCAUGAAGUCGGAGUCGCUAGUAAUCGCAGAUCAGCAACGCUGCGGUGAAUACGUUCCCGGGGCU